This 538-nucleotide ribosomal RNA is filed under the name uncultured bacterium. RNAcentral's name for it is "bacterial SSU rRNA". It matches the Rfam family "Bacterial small subunit ribosomal RNA", at positions 777 to 1312 of the family's 1533-position model. The record is from RNAcentral.
AAUAGAUACCCCGGUAGUCCAUGCCGUAAACGUUGGGAACUAGAUGUAGGGCCUGUUCCACGGGUUCUGUGUCGUAGCUAACGCAUUAAGUUCCCCGCCUGGGGAGUACGGCCGCAAGGCUAAAACUCAAAGGAAUUGACGGGGGCCCGCACAAGCGGCGGAGCAUGCGGAUUAAUUCGAUGCAACGCGAAGAACCUUACCAAGGCUUGACAUAUAGAAGAACGGGCGAGAGAUCGUCAACUCUUUGGACACUUCUAUACAGGUGGUGCAUGGUUGUCGUCAGCUCGUGUCGUGAGAUGUUCGGUUAAGUCCGGCAACGAGCGCAACCCUCGUCCUAUGUUGCCAGCACGUUAUGGUGGGAACUCAUGGGAUACUGCCGUGGUCAACACGGAGGAAGGUGGGGAUGACGUCAAAUCAUCAUGCCCCUUAUGUCUUGGGCUUCACGCAUGCUACAAUGGCCGAUACAAAGGGCUGCGAUACCGCGAGGUGGAGCGAAUCCCAAAAAAGUCGGUCUCAGUUCGGAUUGGGGUCUGCAACC